UUUGAAAAUGAUGAGCCGCUUGCCCUCACUGAGAACAAAGUUUGGUACUGAAAAUGUAAAUAUCACAAA
Molecule: small nucleolar RNA, 69 nt
Organism: Mustela erminea (ermine)
Lineage: Eukaryota; Metazoa; Chordata; Mammalia; Carnivora; Mustelidae
Product: small nucleolar RNA SNORD103/SNORD85
Exons: 1
Source: RefSeq, a predicted model, not a curated record